Trichechus manatus latirostris (Florida manatee) is the source of this 4469-nucleotide long non-coding RNA. RefSeq lists it as uncharacterized. Lineage: Eukaryota; Metazoa; Chordata; Mammalia; Sirenia; Trichechidae. The transcript has 2 exons. The record is from RefSeq and is a predicted model, not a curated record.
UGUACAUUUGUGUCUCAUAUUAAGUUUGUUAUAAAUGUAUAAAAAUGGCAUCAUAUGGUAUAUAUUACUUCCUUUAUAGCAGAUAAAAUGAACUAUAUCUACAGGUAUUACUAUGAAUAAAUCACAUAUCACCAUUUUAAUUACUUUAAUAAUUAUUUAUUCAAUAUCCACAUCCUCUUCUAGAUUGUAAACACCAUAAGCUGGAUCAUACUUGUCUCUUUUACCACUGCAUAUCCCAAACACCUUGCAGUUUCUGGCACAUUAUAAGCAAGAAAUAAAUACUGGAUAAAUGAAGAACUAAUCAUUGAACAAUGUUAUCUAAUUUAGAUAGAAUCUGAACUACUCCAUUAAAUUAAAUUGGCUAAAUAUCUUGACCUCAUUCUGUAUGUAUGCUGUUUAAACAAAAAUGAAGUGGUGAGAAGGGGAUAUUAACCCCUUUUGGUUUUUAUUUAGUAGAAAGAAACCUUAAAUAAAAGAAAAUAAAAUAAGCUUUAAAAGUUAAGCAUUUUCAUUUAUAUAAAGAGAUCUGGCCUUGGACACUGGUGGGGAACUUAUACUAUCAGAAAUAAAGAGGAAGAAACAAGAGGAAAACAAAUUUCCUGCUACAAAGAAAAACAAAAAUUGUUUGGUAACAAAGUAAAAUAGGAAUUGAGAAUACUGAAACAGAAACCAGAAGGGUUCUGGCCUUCAGCCAACUUCCCAAUAGCCACUAAGGUGGGAAGGCAACUUCUUAAAAGGAAUGAGCUAUUUGACUACUCUUCUACCACAUAUUAUCACAAAAGAAAUAUUGGAAGGAAAGGAGAGCAAUAUAAAUGAAGAGUGAGUACAUUUGCAACAGGAAUUUGUCCAGUAAGGGCACUGGGGUGCAGCUGUUAUUUUUUAGAUAUAUUUAACUGCAUAACUGUAUUUCUUCAUAGUCCAGCAUACAUGGCACAUCCCUGUGCUGUAGUUUUACUUAUGUUUACCGUUAAGUCAUUCAACUCAAAAUCAAACAUUACAAGGAUAACCAUACAUGUUUCCAGGAGAGGAUAGAAAAUUUCAUCUUUUCAUCACUGAACUGAAUCAUUCAAAUUUUGCUGGUUUACAAAAACUUAUCCUAAAAACAAGUACAGAAUUGUACAAAAAUACCUUCAGUUUUGGAUAAUAAAUUACAGACCAUAACCAAAAACUGUUGUGUAUAAAUGAACACUCCUGUUUUUAGCUCUAUGAGAAGUUAUAAGGAGUCAGGGUUUAUAAAGAUUUAAUAAAUUGAGAGUAGCUGACAGACACUUAGAGGAGGCAAACGACAGGAUUUUUAAAUGCAUUUUGUAUAAUAAGUCUUAGGAGUUACAAUAAACUUCAGCUUUUAGUCUAACAUAUCUAGUGUUUUGGGAAUAUACAAGAAAAAAAUUUAAGUAAUGAAAACAACUUUGAUGCACUUCGUUCUACAAGUUAAGCUAAGGAAUGAUUUUAAUGGUAGGAUUUAGGGCUUUUUACCUUCUACAGUCAAGUCAUAUUGGAGUUAAUUUUCUACCUAGAUCAACACUUUAGAACAUAAAUCUGAUCAUGUCCAAUGAUAUCUGAUCGUACAUACUGAAAACCCUUCCCAAUGGUUUCCCUUCACACUUAUUUUUUCUGUAGGUAAAAGAAUCUUGGGAUAAAAUAAUUUGUUUCUACGAGUGAAACAAAAACAUGAAUAUAUUAAAAUUAUAGGAUACUGGUGAUAUGGAAUAUAGACAAUGACCACGUUAUAUAACUGUUGUCGUAAAAAAAUGAACUCACCACAGAAUAACCUUGUUUAAUAUGAAAUUUCCUGAGUUCUUGGUCUAUCAAGGCAAUUUAAAAUUACUGCUACUAUCCUUUAAUUUUCAUGGAAUAUUCCAAUUUUAUUAACAAGGAGACACAAUAAGAAUGGGAAAUUGUAUGGUCUAUGGUCAAGAGGAUAGGCUCGGGAAUCAAAACUGCCGGGGGUUCAAGUCCUGGUACUGUACACUUAAAAGCUGUAUGACCUUAGGGAAUUUACAUAAUCAACCUGAAUCUACAGAGAUAAUAAAAUAGUACCUACCUUCGUAAUUUUUUUGAGGAUUAAAGAAUUCUCAAAAUAUGCUUUGCACUGAAGAAUGAUCCAUAUUAAGUCCAAUUAAUAUAAUUGAUCCUAAAACAGUGCAAUUCAAAUUUUCAUGUAAGUUGCUGCUGGUGGUGUAUCGUGUAUGUCUUUUUGCUAAAGUUGACUAAAACUGCUGACAUUGGAAGCAAAAGGGGAAAUAUAAAGAAAACCACAGGAUCGUCCAUUUUAGCAAACUGGAAAGCUUGAGCUACUCUAGUCCAAACUGCACUCACUCAAGUUAGCUGGGUUUAGGCCCAUCCCUUUGAGAAUUGAUCACUGUAUACUCAGUUUUAGUCUGCACACUGCUCAGCUUCCUGUGAUAAGGGACUGUAAAGAAACUUUAGGUUUCCAAGGUCUUUGGUACAGGCAAUAGGCAUGGAUGGGACACUCUUUUCCAUUUUAAAUCACAGCCAAUUUUAGGUAUGUACAGUCUUUUCAGAUACCGUCAGGUCCUUAAACCUGUGAUUAAGAUUGUUUAUGAAUUAACUGUUAUGGUUUACUAUCCUAUGUCAAGAUGAAUGAGAAGCAUCUUAAUAAAUAUGGUACAUCAUCCUGAAGCCAAAUGUACUCAGAGACUCUGGAAAAGGAAGCUUAGUCACAGAAGUAGUAAAUACUAUGUCUUUUAAAAUAUCAAGAAGGUAUUAAGAGGUAAAACAAAAUUCACGCAGAUUUUCAAAGGUACAAAACAGGACUCUAAAGUUCAUGCUUAUAGAAUAUCACACCUGGCUACCCACCCAGAUCCUAUGCCCAUCCACCCAACACUCACUGAAGCUACUUACAUCUGACAAGCACUAGGUUAACUGGAAGUUUCAAUCGAUUAAGAAAUUCUGCAGAAGAUUCCAAAUUCUUAAAUAAUGACACAAUUAUGCACCCCUCCCCAAUGGUACUGAAAAAAACUACAGAACACAGUAUACAAAUAAUGCAGCAGCUUUCUAUCCAGAACCCCUUAGUACAAGGUAAAUGUAUAAAUUCAUGAGUAAGUAAACCAUUAUAUGACAAAGCCCAAUGUGUAAACAACAGUGCUGAUCCUGUGACAGACAAUUAUGGUUGAUUUAAAAUCGAGCAACAAAUUGAAUUAAAACCAAAGCUUCGCAAAGUUUUAUUACUUAGCUAAAAACACAGCAACAAACUAAUUUUCUUUCUCCUUCAGGUAAAAAAAAAAAGUCAUACAUUCUCUAAGUUCUGUUGAAAUAGCACCUUUUAAUUGAAAAACUUCACAAACUGGUAACAGAAAGUUAUGCUCUAUUUCUCAUCCUCCUUAAAAUCAUUCUCUGUAAGUGUCUCUUUCAGGUAAAAAAAGAGACCUUAAGGCAGGGAUCUUUUAUUGGCAUGAUUAGAGAGGGUGAAUAGUAUUAGUCACCACAGGAUUUUAACAAAAUCAACACUUGUCCUAUAAUUUCAGUCAAGAGAUGUUAAUGAAGUUUCAUUAUGCAGAAAAUGUUGUUUAUUUAUUCAUAUUCAAAGUAGAAACCUAUUAUUUAGUUCUUUAUUUAAAUUACAUAUCUUACAUAUAGACCUGGAUUAAUAGGUAAAUGUACUCAAGGCUCAAUGAAAAUAAUAAGUAUCAACAGUAAGCUACAUUAUACUGAAGAAAAGAAGUUUGGAUUUUAACACUUAUUUUUAAAACUUCUAUCAAAAAAACAAAACUUGAUUGUCAAAUGUCAAUACUAUUUAAAGAUUAAAAAAUGAAUAUAUUAGUAAUAUGAAGAUUUGGAAAUGAAAAUUCAUUUCAUGAAUAGCUGUAAUUUUUUAAAUUAUCUAAUUUUUACCCCAAAAUGAACUAUGAUAUUGAAACAAUGAAAAAGAAAGUAGGAUAAUUAAAAUUAAAAUGAUAUAUUUUGAGUUUUUCAAUUUCAUAGCGACCCUAUAGGGCUUCCUAGCCUGUAAUCUUUAUGGGAGCAGAUCACCAGGUCUUUUCUCCGACAGGCAGAUGGGUCAAACUGCUGACCUUUUGGUUAACAACCAAGCACUUAACCACUGCAUAACCAGGGCUCCUUUUGAGUGACCAUGAGAAAUAACAAAAUAGGCCUUGGACGGAGUUCAAUCAAUAAUUUAUACCAUGGUUUUAUACAACAUCAUUAACCUCACUGAAUGAACUAUGAACUCAAGACUUAAAGAUUAAGUUUUACGUUACUCCCUCAAAGGACACUUUAUAAAUUGCCCCUUAGUGGUGAAUUAUUAAAAGGUACACAUAAAAUAAUGAAAACUGGUCAUUCUAAUUUGGGACUAAAGAGAAGUUUAGUAACAGGCUAAAGACUAUGAUUUUAAUUUUAUUUUUAUAAUGGAAUGGCCCAGUAUGAAUAUUUCAGCAUCAUUCUAAUAAUGUAUAAUGUGGAAGCAAAAAAAAAAAAAAACAAAAAAACCCCACCAAACCCACUGCCAC